UUUCCGUAGGUGAACCUGCGGAAGGAUCAUUAAAGAAUCGCCCCGUUUUUUAUAAAUGGGUACUAUUCCCAAACCGUGUAUACAUACCUUUGUUGCUUUGGCAGGCCGCCUCCGGGCGUCGGCUCCGGCUGAUAGUGACUGCCAGAUGACCCAAACUCUGUGUUUAGUGAUGACUGAGUACUAUAUAAUAGUUAAAACUUUCAACAACGGAUCUCUUGGUUCUG
This 224-nucleotide unclassified non-coding RNA is filed under the name plant metagenome. RNAcentral's name for it is "partial contains small subunit ribosomal RNA, internal transcribed spacer 1, and 5.8S ribosomal RNA". The record is from RNAcentral.